AUGAAUGCUCGGGAAGUUAUGGAGAGAAAGGAGACGAUCCCAGUGAUUAAUGCCAAAGCCCUGUUGCCUGGGGAGAGGGUGAUGCUUGACUUUCUUGUACAGCUGCAGUUUGUGUGGUGAAGGUGCUCCCACAAUGUGGUUGGAUCCCAGUGAUUAAUGCCAAAGCCCCAUUGCCUGUGGAGAGGGUGAUGUUUGACUUCCUUGUACAGCUGCAGUUUGUGUGGUGAAGGUGCUCCCACAAUGUGGUUGGGUGGACAUUCAGAUGGUAACCACAGUAUUUGUAACACCAAACUCUGACAGAAUUACUCAAUUCAUCAGGACCUGGAUAUUUGCAUUUAGUUGGUACUGAAAGGGUGGAUUUGUGAAUGAGAAAUUCAAAUUGAGCUUCAUGUUCAGACCUGAUGGUUACUGGAUCCGUGCCGAUCUGAAUAUCAUUGACCUUUU
Long non-coding RNA from Hemiscyllium ocellatum (epaulette shark), 444 nucleotides. RefSeq lists it as uncharacterized. The transcript is spliced from 5 exons. NCBI's taxonomy places the organism in Eukaryota, Metazoa, Chordata, Chondrichthyes, Orectolobiformes, Hemiscylliidae. The record is from RefSeq and is a predicted model, not a curated record.